UACGGAGGGUGCAAGCGUUAAUCGGAAUUACUGGGCGUAAAGCGCACGCAGGCGGUCUGUCAAGUCGGAUGUGAAAUCCCCGGGCUCAACCUGGGAACUGCAUUCGAAACUGGCAGGCUAGAGUCUUGUAGAGGGGGGUAGAAUUCCAGGUGUAGCGGUGAAAUGCGUAGAGAUCUGGGGGAAUACCGGUGGCGAAGGCGGCCCCCUGGACAAAGACUGACGCUCAGGUGCGAAAGCGUGGGGAGCAAACAGG
This 253-nucleotide ribosomal RNA is filed under the name uncultured bacterium. Its description in RNAcentral is "partial 16S ribosomal RNA". It matches the Rfam family "Bacterial small subunit ribosomal RNA", at positions 524 to 776 of the family's 1533-position model. The record is from RNAcentral.